RNAcentral lists this transfer RNA (83 nucleotides) under Caenorhabditis brenneri. RNAcentral describes it as "tRNA-Sup (TTA) (tRNA-Sup-TTA-3-1)". It matches the Rfam family "tRNA". From Rfam's summary of the family: Transfer RNA (tRNA) molecules are approximately 80 nucleotides in length. Their secondary structure includes four short double-helical elements and three loops (D, anti-codon, and T loops). Lineage: Eukaryota; Metazoa; Nematoda; Chromadorea; Rhabditida; Rhabditidae. The record is from RNAcentral.
GCCCCGGUGGCCGAGCGGUCUAAGGCGUGAGAAGUUAAAUCUCAUUGGGUCUCCAGUCGCGGGUUCGAAUCCCGUCCGGGGCA